UCCCAGACUCCUACGGGAGGCAGCAGUGGGGAAUAUUGCACAAUGGGGGAAACCCUGAUGCAGCAACGCCGCGUGAGUGAAGAAGUAUUUCGGUAUGUAAAGCUCUAUCAGCAGGGAAGAAAAUGACGGUACCUGAGUAAGAAGCCCCGGCUAACUACGUGCCAGCAGCCGCGGUAAUACGUAGGGGGCAAGCGUUAUCCGGAUUUACUGGGUGUAAAGGGAGCGUAGACGGCGAUGCAAGUCUGAAGUGAAAGCCCGGGGCUCAACCCCGGGACUGCUUUGGAAACUGUAUGGCUGGAGUACUGGAGAGGCAAGCGGAAUUCCUAGUGUAGCGGUGAAAUGCGUAGAUAUUAGGAGGAACACCAGUGGCGAAGGCGGCCUGCUGGACGACAACUGACGGUGAGGCGCGAAAGCGUGGGGAGCAAACAGGAUUAGAUACCCUAGUAG
RNAcentral lists this ribosomal RNA (447 nucleotides) under uncultured bacterium. RNAcentral's name for it is "bacterial SSU rRNA". It matches the Rfam family "Bacterial small subunit ribosomal RNA", at positions 329 to 793 of the family's 1533-position model. The record is from RNAcentral.